AGGCCUCUGAUACAAGCUUUCGCCUUAAGAUGAGCCCAUGGCCCAUCAGCUAGUUGGUAGGGUAAAGGCCUACCAAGGCUACGACGGGUCGCUGGUCUGAGAGGACGACCAGCCACACUGGCACUGAGAUACGGGCCAGACUCCUACGGGAGGCAGCAGUGAGGAAUAUUGCGCAAUGGGGGAAACCCUGACGCAGCAACGCCGCGUGUGGGAAGAAGGCCUUCGGGUCGUAAACCACUUUUGCACGGGACGAAAAAGGGAUAUCGAACAAAUAUCCCCGAUGACGGUACCGUGAGAAUAAGCCACGGCUAACUCUGUGCCAGCAGCCGCGGUAAGACAGAGGUGGCAAGCGUUGUUCG
RNAcentral lists this ribosomal RNA (359 nucleotides) under uncultured bacterium. RNAcentral's name for it is "bacterial SSU rRNA". It matches the Rfam family "Bacterial small subunit ribosomal RNA", at positions 191 to 547 of the family's 1533-position model. The record is from RNAcentral.